UACGUAGGGUGCGAGCGUUGUCCGGAAUUAUUGGGCGUAAAGAGCUCGUAGGCGGUCUGUCGCGUCGGCUGUGAAAACUCGGGGCUUAACCCCGAGCCUGCAGUGGAUACGGGCAGACUAGAGGUAGGUAGGGGAGAAUGGAAUUCCCGGUGUAGCGGUGAAAUGCGCAGAUAUCGGGAGGAACACCGGUGGCGAAGGCGGUUCUCUGGGCCUUACCUGACGCUGAGGAGCGAAAGCGUGGGGAGCGAACAGG
This 253-nucleotide ribosomal RNA is filed under the name uncultured bacterium. RNAcentral's name for it is "partial 16S ribosomal RNA". It matches the Rfam family "Bacterial small subunit ribosomal RNA", at positions 524 to 776 of the family's 1533-position model. The record is from RNAcentral.